RNAcentral lists this ribosomal RNA (496 nucleotides) under uncultured bacterium. Its description in RNAcentral is "partial 16S ribosomal RNA". It matches the Rfam family "Bacterial small subunit ribosomal RNA", at positions 28 to 506 of the family's 1533-position model. The record is from RNAcentral.
GAUGAACGCUGGCGGCGUGCCUAAUACAUGCAAGUCGAGCGAACAGACGAGGAGCUUGCUCCUCUGACGUUAGCGGCGGACGGGUGAGUAACACGUGGAUAACCUACCUAUAAGACUGGGAUAACUUCGGGAAACCGGAGCUAAUACCGGAUAAUAUAUUGAGCCGCAUGGUUCAAUAGUGAAAGACGGUUUUGCUGUCACUUAUAGAUGGAUCCGCGCCGCAUUAGCUAGUUGGUAAGGUAACGGCUUACCAAGGCGACGAUGCGUAGCCGACCUGAGAGGGGGAUGGCCCAACCUGGAAUGAGACCCCGGCCCGAACCCCACGGGGGGGCGGCAGGGGGAAUUCUUCCCAAAGGGCGGAAGCCCUGAGGGGGCACCGCCGGGGGAGGAAGAAGGUCUUUGGAUUUUAAAACCUUUUUUUUUGGGAAAAAAAAAAUGGGAAAGUAAUUUGCCCGGUCUGGACGGUCCUAAACAAAAAACCACCGGCUAACUACGG